This is a long non-coding RNA of Falco peregrinus (peregrine falcon), 185 nucleotides long. RefSeq lists it as uncharacterized. NCBI's taxonomy places the organism in Eukaryota, Metazoa, Chordata, Aves, Falconiformes, Falconidae. The transcript has 3 exons. The record is from RefSeq and is a predicted model, not a curated record.
GCUCAGCCUGACUCGUCAGUAGCACCAGCAGAAAGCAGUAGCUAAAAAGAGAAGAAUGAGGACUAUAACAAGUUCCCAUGUUUCUUCAUCUAACUUUAUCACUGAAUUGAGAGAGCCAAUUUAAAAGUAUGAAAAGCUUAUGCACGGAAUGCACUUUCAACAAAAAUGCGACAAGCGAAGGACAG